GACGAACGCUGGCGGCGUGCUUAACACAUGCAAGUCGAACGAAGAGCGACGGAAGCUUGCUUCUUUCAAUCUUAGUGGCGCACGGGUGAGUAACGCGUAAUCAACCUGCCCUUCAGAGGGGGACAACAGUUGGAAACGACUGCUAAUACCGUAUACGAUCUAACCUCGGCAUCGAGGAUAGAUGAAUGGUGGUCCCUACAUGUAAGCUAACACUGCAGGGGGGGAGUGCGUUUGAUUAGCUAGUUGGUGGGGUAACGGCUCACCAAGGCGAUGAUGAGUAGCCGAUCUGAGAGGAUGAACGGCCACAUUGGGACUGAGACACGGCCCAGACUCCUACGGGAGGCAGCAGUGGGGAAUCUUCCGCAAUGGACGAAAGUCUGACGGAGCAACGCCGCGUGAGUGAUGACGGCCGUCGGGUUGUAAAGCUCUGUUAAUCGGGACGAAAGGCCUUCUUGCGAAUAGGGAGAAGGAUUGACGGUACCGGAAUAGAAAGCCACGGCUAACUACGUG
RNAcentral lists this ribosomal RNA (510 nucleotides) under uncultured bacterium. RNAcentral's name for it is "partial 16S ribosomal RNA". It matches the Rfam family "Bacterial small subunit ribosomal RNA", at positions 28 to 507 of the family's 1533-position model. The record is from RNAcentral.